ACCAACAACUCAAACUAUGAUUUUUACAAACCGGUUAUGUAAACAUCCACUUAUGACAACUAAGAACAGGAAGCGGUGAGUAACUGGUUUAAAAAUGAUGAAAAUGUUUUGCCUUGUAUCAUGGGUCUUCAUUUGUGAAGCAGAUUUCUAAAUCUGCUAGACACCAACAUGGGCAGAUCAUAAAUUGGCAUAAACAGCAUGAAUCUAGUGAGUAUUGUACAGUGAGUAAUGUCGCUAAUCAUAUUCAUCCCUCUUAUGACUGCAGUCCAUCAUCUGGUGGAUACUAUCAGCAGAAUAAUGCAGCACAUUGCAACCCAAGUUAUUUGGGGUAAUCCAGAUAUUUUUAUAACUGAGGUUAUGUCUCCCUUUGUCUCUUUUAUCCUGCCAUCCACCAUUCGUGAACUAAGUAUGAAAUCUUGCAAGAUGUAGCAGGAUUUGAGUUUUUAAAAGUGGGGGCGGAGCCCAUUGUUUGGUCUGGGAGCGCAUGUUGUGGACAGGGAAGUUCAGGCCUGGCUGCUGCAGUUUCUAGAUGCAUCUAAUAUUUGGAAAGAUUGAGUUUGACGGGCUUACAAACAGGAAGAAAAGAACUGAUAAACUGUGCUGGUGUGUCCAUCCGUCAGGUUCAGCUUGUCACAAACAGCCUCAACACAUCUCCACAUUGAUCCAGGCUGCAGUUUAGUUGAGGCCCCUACUACUCCUAAUGCUGUUCUGCCACCAAAAUAAAACCCGGCGACAUGCCUGCUCAGCUAAUCAAUGGGAUCAAUAGUGCAUUGCAUCCUCUUAUAAAUAUGUUGACACCCGUCAGGUCCUGUAAGUCAACUGUGAAUUACAUUUUUGUGCUGCCACGCUAGUUAAAAGAGUCAGUAUGCUGCUCGGUGUGUGACAAAAUCCAGCAGUCGUGGCUGAUUUGAGUUAAUGCCCCCGCAUCUCAGUGCUCCACCCCUGCUAUUGAUUACUGUUUAAAAGGCUAUGGGUAGUCAAUACGACCCCUCAUCACCAUCUGUCUCUAUUUACUAAUAAAUAAAGUGGAGUGCAUUGACUGCUUGGGCCGGGCCUGUAAAAGCAUGCAUGCUAAUAAGCGUCAGGCCCCUGUAGACACAGGAGCAAGAAGGUGUGGACUUUCUUCCUCCUCACAAUCUCUGCCUUGUGCUUUGCACGAGGCACAGAACUCCAAUCAUUGUAAUUGCCUGCCGGUCUUCCUGGUGUUCAAUAUCCCUCAUCAAACGAAAUGCGUCUUCGCUCCGCCUGCAUGGAUUUUUUUUUCCUCCACUCGUGUCCUCGCUGUUGUGUUGUUGUUUUUUCCUCUGCAGUAGUGUGCAGGUCAGCUUUUAGGGCCAUGUCUAGUCAUUUGUCAAGACGUGGGCCAUAAGCUUUGCCUCACCACACUCUGUUUUACUGAUCAAUUACAGUUCAUACAGAGGGGCUCAUUUAAAAAAAGCACCAAUAAAGCAAGUAUCAUAAAUGACACCAUUUUUUCCAUCCAGGUUUUCGAUCGGACUUUCUGCUGCAUGUGCUCGGGAAUAAAUUAGUCUUUGUUUUAAUAAAGAUGCUGUAGAGUUGUUAUGUUUUUGUUAAA
This is a long non-coding RNA of Poecilia latipinna (sailfin molly), 1576 nucleotides long. RefSeq lists it as uncharacterized. The record is from RefSeq and is a predicted model, not a curated record. NCBI's taxonomy places the organism in Eukaryota, Metazoa, Chordata, Actinopteri, Cyprinodontiformes, Poeciliidae. The transcript is spliced from 3 exons.